This 238-nucleotide long non-coding RNA is filed under the name Manihot esculenta (cassava). RNAcentral's name for it is "long non-coding RNA (MESC_LNC001160)". The record is from RNAcentral. Lineage: Eukaryota; Viridiplantae; Streptophyta; Magnoliopsida; Malpighiales; Euphorbiaceae.
CAAGAACUGAAUGAUUUCAUACCAAGGAUUAAGACUGUCCAACAAUUUAAUCAAGCAGGACUGGAAUCAGAUCACAUUGCGAGCAAGCCUAAAAGCGUUGGACUCGAAAAUUGAAAAAUCCCAACAAACUCAGUCCACAAGGACGUCGAUCGUUUAAGUGGAGGAGUGUCAGGGUUAUAGGGUUUUCAAGCAUUAAAAUUGUAAUUUUUCAAUAUUGAAAUUCCCAGGAAGCAAUAUU